Hermetia illucens (black soldier fly) is the source of this 1184-nucleotide long non-coding RNA. RefSeq lists it as uncharacterized. Lineage: Eukaryota; Metazoa; Arthropoda; Insecta; Diptera; Stratiomyidae. The transcript has 3 exons. The record is from RefSeq and is a predicted model, not a curated record.
GGCUGAAAAAUGUGGUAAGUGGUAAAGCCUAAGUCGACCAGCCUUAGGCGAUGCAGAAUAUAAAAGAAGUGGAGUUUGUCUUUGUUACUAUUAAAGUUGAAUGAACUCGAAGACUCUCUGGCGAUAUAUAGAUUCCCCGAAUUUUAUAAUAGCCUAGAAUGUAUCCGUCAAACACCACCCUUUGUUACUGAAAUUGUGUCAAUUACACACCUUUUAACUUAAAAUCAUCUAUGUAAACCAAAAAAAUGUUAUCAAAAAUCGUGGAACAAGUAUAAAAGAUGCAAUCAAGAUGCAAUCAGAAAUCCUUUGGGAAUGUAUUGUAUGAUUUAUUAUUUAUUGGUACUUUUCAACUAUUAAUCAACCAUUAACGGGCUGACUUUUUCGUGGGAGAUCAUUCAAGCAAGCUAAGCGCUUUCGACUUCUUCCUCGUCUUUCUCUGUAAUAGGUGCACUGUUUUUAUAGUUGCCCCCGAAACAUUUGCCGCAUCUUAGGUGGCAGAAUAACCCUACCCUUCGGCAAGUACAAGUUAUGCCGCAUCCUUUUUUUGCAAUUCAUCAAGAAUAGAACAGAAAAAGAGCUUUGCUGUUUAAUGGAAAUUUUACCAAAUUCUGUUAACAUUACCAAGCAAAUGCAAAAUUGAAGUGAUAGUAAUGUACGAUGUAAUUACGCUUGAAUUUGUUUCGGCAAAUAUUAUGUUUCAGAGAUAUGGGUAAUUUAGAAGUUUCUGAAAAUAGUUGAAUUCAUUCGGGCUCAAUUUGUUUACCCAAGUCGUGCAGUGGAAAAUUAUACGUAUAUAGAACCAAAAAAUUCGCAGUGAACGGUGAGUUGAAAAUUGUAAAGCUUUGAACUAUCAUCAUCUAUUGUUGGUAAAUGGCAAUCGCGGCGUUUAAUAAAAAGUGAAUAUGAGAUACUAGGGGUGAUAGAAAGUUACACACUUAAGGGCAAUGUAAAUACUGAAGAAACCUAACUCGUUCGAUUCAAACUACUCUACUCGGUUUAAACUACUUGCCCAGUAACGUCAUAUGAAGUGUCACCCAAUCACCGCAUUUUCGUUCCCGCCUUGUGAGAAUUCGAUUUUUAAACCUUUAUAAUUAAUUAAUUAAUAAAUAAAAAAUGAGCGUUCGGAAUUGGCUUUUCUAACGGAGAUAUUAAUAUGGGAAGAAAAAUUAAUUAAUUAAUAUAAU